UGGGGAAUAUUGCACAAUGGGCGAAAGCCUGAUGCAGCAACGCCGCGUGAGUGAUGAAGGCCUUCGGGUUGUAAAGCUCUGUCUUUUGGGACGAUAAUGACGGUACCAAAGGAGGAAGCCACGGCUAACUACGUGCCAGCAGCCGCGGUAAUACGUAGGUGGCAAGCGUUGUCCGGAUUUACUGGGCGUAAAGGAUGCGUAGGCGGAUUUUUAAGUGAGAUGUGAAAUACCCGGGCUUAACUUGGGUGCUGCAUUUCAAACUGGGAAUCUAGAGUGCGGGAGAGGAGAAUGGAAUUCCUAGUGUAGCGGUGAAAUGCGUAGAGAUUAGGAAGAACACCAGUGGCGAAGGCGAUUCUCUGGA
Molecule: ribosomal RNA, 361 nt
Filed under: uncultured bacterium
Lineage: Bacteria
Description: partial 16S ribosomal RNA
Rfam family: Bacterial small subunit ribosomal RNA
Source: RNAcentral